Molecule: long non-coding RNA, 373 nt
Organism: Empidonax traillii (willow flycatcher)
Lineage: Eukaryota; Metazoa; Chordata; Aves; Passeriformes; Tyrannidae
Exons: 3
Source: RefSeq, a predicted model, not a curated record
CAGUGUCUGUCAUGAGUAAUGCAUGGGAUGGAACCACACACAGUCUGUUCCAGACACGGGAACCAUGGAAACAUUCCUGACGUGUGAGCUGCUCCUUGGGAUGAUGGCAGGAAAGAGGGGCUGAAGGAAGCUGGUCUUGUCCUCCUCUGUUGCCCAAGGCCAGAUCAUUACAGAACAAGAGGGAUUUCAGCUUCUUGACUCAUCCACGUGGAAGAAGGAGCAGCCGGGCCACAGAGUGAUCACACACUGCAGUGGAAAGACACCAGUGCUAACAACAGUCACAUGCAUGGAGUGUCCUUCACUAUCCAGCUUCAAAAGGCUUUGAAGGAGGGAUAUUCCUGCUCAAAAACGCUCAAAAAACCCAAGGCCUGAG